UGGGGAAUUUUGGACAAUGGGCGAAAGCCUGAUCCAGCAAUGCCGCGUGUGUGAAGAAGGCCUUCGGGUUGUAAAGCACUUUUGUCCGGAAAGAAAUCCUUGGCUCUAAUACAGUCGGGGGAUGACGGUACCGGAAGAAUAAGCACCGGCUAACUACGUGCCAGCAGCCGCGGUAAUACGUAGGGUGCAAGCGUUAAUCGGAAUUACUGGGCGUAAAGCGUGCGCAGGCGGUUUGCUAAGACCGAUGUGAAAUCCCCGGGCUCAACCUGGGAACUGCAUUGGUGACUGGCAGGCUAGAGUAUGGCAGAGGGGGGUAGAAUUCCACGUGUAGCAGUGAAAUGCAUAGAGAUGUGGAGGAAUACCGAUGGCGAAGGCAGCCCCCUGGGCCAAUACUGACGCUCAUGCACGAAAGCGUGGGGAGCAAACAGGAUUAGAUACCCUGGUAGUCCACGCCCUAAACGAUGUCAACUAGUUGUUGGGGAUUCAUUUCCUUAGUAACGUAGCUAACGCGUGAAGUUGACCGCCUGGGGAGUACGGUCGCAAGAUU
Molecule: ribosomal RNA, 547 nt
Filed under: uncultured bacterium
Lineage: Bacteria
Description: partial 16S ribosomal RNA
Rfam family: Bacterial small subunit ribosomal RNA
Source: RNAcentral